RNAcentral lists this ribosomal RNA (442 nucleotides) under uncultured Bacillota bacterium. RNAcentral describes it as "bacterial SSU rRNA". It matches the Rfam family "Bacterial small subunit ribosomal RNA", at positions 917 to 1359 of the family's 1533-position model. Lineage: Bacteria; Bacillati; Bacillota. The record is from RNAcentral.
GGACCCGCACAAGCAGCGGAGCAUGUGGUUUAAUUCGAAGCAACGCGAAGAACCUUACCAGGGCUUGACAUCCCUCUGACAGGCGUGUAACGGCGCUUUCCCUUCGGGGCAGAGGAGACAGGUGGUGCAUGGUUGUCGUCAGCUCGUGUCGUGAGAUGUUGGGUUAAGUCCCGCAACGAGCGCAACCCUUGCCUUUAGUUGCCAUCACGUUAAGGUGGGCACUCUAGAGGGACCGCCGGGGAUAACUCGGAGGAAGGUGGGGAUGACGUCAAAUCAUCAUGCCCCUUAUGUUCUGGGCUACACACGUGCUACAAUGGCCGGUACAGCGAGAAGCAAGAUGGCGACAUGGAGCAAAUCACUAAAACCGGUCCCAGUUCGGAUUGUAGGCUGAAACCCGCCUGCAUGAAGUCGGAGUUGCUAGUAAUCGCAGAUCAGAAUGCUG